AGUGAACGCUGGCGGUAGGCCUAACACAUGCAAGUCGAACGGCAGCACAGUAAGAGCUUGCUCUUACGGGUGGCGAGUGGCGGACGGGUGAGGAAUACAUCGGAAUCUACUUUUUCGUGGGGGAUAACGUAGGGAAACUUACGCUAAUACCGCAUACGACCUACGGGUGAAAGCAGGGGAUCUUCGGACCUCGCGCGAUUGAAUGAGCCGAUGUCGGAUUAGCUAGUUGGCGGGGUAAAGGCCCACCAAGGCGACGAUCCGUAGCUGGUCUGAGAGGAUGGUCAGCCACACUGGAACUGAGACACGGUCCAGACUCCUACGGGAGGCAGCAGUGGGGAAUAUUGGACAAUGGGCGCAAGCCUGAUCCAGCCAUACCGCGUGGGUGAAGAAGGCCUUCGGGUUGUAAAGCCCUUUUGUUGGGAAAGAAAAGCAGCAGGUUAAUACCCCGCUGUUCUGACGGUGCCCAAAGAAUAAGCACCGGCUAACUUCGUG
Molecule: ribosomal RNA, 492 nt
Filed under: uncultured bacterium
Lineage: Bacteria
Description: partial 16S ribosomal RNA
Rfam family: Bacterial small subunit ribosomal RNA
Source: RNAcentral